This 614-nucleotide long non-coding RNA is filed under the name Anas platyrhynchos platyrhynchos (common mallard). Its description in RNAcentral is "lncRNA (ENSAPLG00000026576.1)". The record is from RNAcentral. Lineage: Eukaryota; Metazoa; Chordata; Aves; Anseriformes; Anatidae.
GGCACACAGUGGGAGCCAGCCACAUCCCUACAUGUAACUGUGCCAGCAUGUAAUCCCUCUCCAAACAUCCUGCUGAGACUCCACCUGCACUUCUUUUCUCUCAUUCCAGAACCUACGAGUUUCCUCACCAACUGCCUCCUGGUUCUGCGGGCACAGCCAUCUGCAGUGUCUGGAGGUGGAAACCUGAGAGCGCUCCUUCAGCUGCUUGGUGCCUGGUCAUGUCAGCUCUCCAGUCACCUCCACUCAGCAACAUCUACUGGCUUUUUGGGUACCUUCAGAAACAAGGAAGUCAGAUAUAUUCCCUGUAGAAUAUUCCCUUUUUUGUCCUUCACUGCACUGGAAACUUAAGUAUUUGGCCAGAAGGAGGGAAGGAACCACAAAAAGAGGCCACAAUGCAGCCAGUGUAAACAUGUGCUUCACAGAGGCAAACCAUCUUGGUCCAGCAGUACUGGUAAGAGAAACAAAGCUGGACUUGGCUCUCCUGUGAUAGGACGUGCGCAGGGCAAGCCAAACAACUGAGUGAAACUGAGCCCAUUGCUGGGCGUCCACCAAAACCUGGAUUUAGAAUCGUAAACCUCAAUAAAUAAAUAAAUAAAUAAAUGCUGCUUUUGCUU